UAUUUAUGUAUUUCAUGAUUGAACAUGUUAGAAUAUUUGUUUAUUACAUUGUUAAAUCUCCUUCUCUCAUUUGUAAUUUUCGAUGCAAAGAGAGAUUUUGAUUUAUGUGUCUUUUGUAGAGGAAAAGAUAGGGAGAGGGAGAGAAUUUUUUAUUAAUAAUUUUUUUAUCAGCAUUGGAGUGAGCCACGGAAUCAAUCGUUAGUAUCGAGUUGUAGAAAUAAUUCCGAUGCUCAUCUCCUUCAGCACAACAAAAUACCCAUCUCAUUCCCAGUAUAUGUUUGAGAAUAGCAUUUGCUAUUGAAUCCAUACUCAAAGCUUGUAAAUCAAAUUGUGUUGAUCUUAGUCCCAAGCUUCAGAUGGUUUCUUGACCUGCAUAUUUAAAUGGGUAGCUUGGAACUCAUAUCAAGAUCUUUACCAUUUGCUACUCCAAGCAUUUAAUGAGUUGAAGAGGCUCUCAAGAAAUGCAUUUGAAGCACUGAGGAGGGAGGCCAAUUUGAGGUGGGGAAACAGGAACUGAAUCAUCAAUCUUCUUCAUCUGUUAAAUAUUGUUUAGUCUUAAUUAUUGCUUAUUCAUUAAUAUUAUGUAAAUGACCUUGUUCAUAUUCCUUGCUGCUACUUUAUUGCUUAUUGCUACUCUGACCAAAUUGGUUUUUAAUUUCUUUGUAUUUCUUGCCCAGCACUGUCCAUGGAUUCAACAAAGUUAAGCUUCUUGUUGUAACUUAAAGCUUGCUUGCUAUCAGUUCAGAUAUCUUGGGUCUUCGAUUGUACCAGGGUAAUUAGCAAAGCUGCUGGUUCAUAGUUAUUUUCUCUUGAAUCUUAGGUUUGGAUCUAUUCAGAAUCAUAGUUGUGUUGUGCAGUAGUUUUUUUGGGUCUUUGGUUAUGCAGCUUGAGUGGGAGCUUCUGCUACUAUUUAUAUUUUGGUUUGGUUUGGUUAUUUUUUUUUAUUAUUUUUUUUAAUUCAAUGGAGUUGGCAGUAAUUGAUGGAUUAUAUAACAUGGG
Molecule: unclassified non-coding RNA, 999 nt
Filed under: Hevea brasiliensis (rubber tree)
Lineage: Eukaryota; Viridiplantae; Streptophyta; Magnoliopsida; Malpighiales; Euphorbiaceae
Source: RNAcentral